This 132-nucleotide unclassified non-coding RNA is filed under the name soil metagenome. RNAcentral's name for it is "partial internal transcribed spacer 1". The record is from RNAcentral.
CCGAGUUUUCAACUCCCAAACCCUGUGAACCGCUCCCGUUCCUGCCUCGGCGGGUGCCUCAGGGCUCCCGCCGGCGGUGGGCCGUCUAAACUCUUCUCCGCGGGCUUCUGAGUGUCGCUACGGAAUAAGUCA